GUCCAGCUGACGAGUCCCAAAUAGGACGAAACAUGUGUCAAACUGGAU
RNAcentral lists this non-coding RNA (48 nucleotides) under Schistosoma bovis. RNAcentral also lists the same sequence under 1 other name. Lineage: Eukaryota; Metazoa; Platyhelminthes; Trematoda; Strigeidida; Schistosomatidae. The record is from RNAcentral.